UACGACGUCAUAUUUCAGAAAGCUGUGGGGAAGGAGGUGGAGACGAGGAAGGAAAAUCCUAACGCCUUUAACCUCCUCAUAAAUAAAUACGCUAAUCACACACAGAACGGAUUUCUGCUACAUUCAAAUUAAAACCUGAUUGGUCAAAGAAGACAGUGAAAAGCGAUGGAAACAACGACGACGAAAACGACGAAGGUGAAGGUGAGGAUAGUGGAGAGAGAAGGUGGUUCAGAUGGAAGUAGUGGAAGCUGGGAGAGCAGUGGUGGUGGUGGAGGCGGCAGUGGUGGUGGUGGUGGCGGAGGAGGCAGUGGUGGUGGCGGAGGCGGCAGUGGUGGUGGUGGUGGUGGUGGCGGAGGAGGCAGUGGUGGUGGUGGUGGCGGAGGAGAAGAGAGGGGGAUUUAUGUGUAUUCUGGCUGGGUUUAUCAUUUGGGGACGAACUCGAUCGGGCGUCAGUAUUGUCAUUUGAGAUUCUUGUUUAUUAAAGGAAAAUAUGUUCAGAUGUACAAGCGUGAUCCUCAGGAUCAUCCUGGCAUCAAACAUAUCAGGAAGGGUGUAAUAGGGCCUACACUUAAGGUGGAGGAGCUAGGGCGUCGAAAAGUCAAUCAUGGGGAUAUUUAUGUUUUACGGUUUUACAAUCGAUUGGAUGAGACAAAAAAAGGAGAAAUUGCUUGUGCUACAGCUGGAGAGGUUAAACAAUGGAUGGAAGCAUUUGAUCAGGGGAAGCAACAGGCUGAAUUUGAACUUGCAAGAGGACUUAGUGCCAGAAACAAGCUGAACAUGGAGACAGAGAUUAUCAAUCUUGAAGGACAUCGACCUAGAGUGAGGAGAUAUGCUUAUGGAUUGAAAAAGUUAAUAAGAAUAGGGCAAGGUCCAGAAACACUUCUUCGGCAAUCCUCAAGCUUGGCUGCUAAGGUUAGGCCUGAUAGGUACUUUGAGGGUGAGGUUGGAGAUGCAAUCGACUUUCAUCAAUGGAAAUGUGUUCGUACAGCUAAUGGUGUUCGAAUCUUUGAGGAUGUGUCCAAUUCCAAGAAUGGUAAAGGUGUUCUUGUGAAAGCUGUUAGUGUGAUUGAGGCCAGUGCUGAUACUGUUUUUGAAGUGAUUUUGAACCUUGACCAACAUCAAAGAUAUGAGUGGGAUAUGUUGACAGGCGACUUGGAGCUGUUAGAUUCUUAUGAUGGACACUAUGAUAUUGUCUAUGGGACAUGUGAUUCCAAUUAUCUUUCCCGGUGGAAAUCAAAUAGAGAUUUUGUCUUCUCUAGGCAAUGGUUUCAUGGACAAGACGGAACAUACACAAUUUUGCAACUUCCUGCUGUGCAUAAGGAGCGACCUCCAAGAUCUGGAUAUCAGCGGGAGAAAAUCAACCCUUCUACAUGGGAGAUUAGAGAUUUAAAGGCACCCAUGGAGUCAAAUACAGCAAGAUGUCUUGUGAUGCAAAUGUUAGAGAUACAAGAAGCAGGAUGGUGCAGAUGGAAGAAAAGUCGUGGCUCAAAGUUUGAGAAGACUAUUUCUUUUGCAUUAUUAUCUCAAGUGGAAGGUCUGAAAGAAUAUAUUUCAGCAAAUCCAGCAUUCAAAUUUGAACAUUCCACUACAGUCAUCAAUUCUAGAAUUUCUGAUGGUGCCAUCUCUAGCAGUGAAUAUGAGGAUUCUGAAGUGCAAGAUGAGUUUUACGAUGCAAUGGCUGAUGACUCAUCAUCAUCAGAAGAAGAAGAAGAAGAGAGCGAUGAUGACCAUGAAAAGGGAGUGAAAGUUAAACUGAGGAAUGUUUCAUGGGCCAUCACAGGCUUGGCAUUGAAGCGAGCUCCAGUUACAGAUGCAAGCAAGGACUUGGAUCCAUGUAUAGCUCCAAUCAAUAUUGAUCCAAGCCAAUUUCAUUGUUCUCUCAACAAAGGAAAGGAUGAAAAUGAUUCAAACUGUUGGACUUCUCCAAGCGGCACAGGAUUUAUGGUUAGAGGAAAGACUUAUCUAAAAGAUAGCUCUAAGGUAAUGGGAGGAGAUCCCCUUCUCAAGCUCAUUUCAGUUGACUGGUUCAAGGUUGACAAGGCCAUAGAUGGGAUUUCACUUCAUCCCAGGUGUCUGGUGCAGACUGAAGCUGGAAAAAAGCUCCCCUUCGUUCUGGUCAUCAAUCUCCAGAUUCCAUCAAAACCAAACUACAGUUUGGUUCUCUACUAUGCUGCAGACAGGCCAAUAAACAAAAGUUCUUUGUUGGGUAAAUUUGUUGAUGGGACAGACUUGUUUCGGGAUUCAAGAUUCAAAUUAAUUCCUAGCAUCGUUGAGGGAUAUUGGAUGGUCAAGCGCGCAGUUGGAACAAAAGCUUGCCUAUUGGGGAAAGCAGUAACCUGCAAGUACCUCAGACAAGAUAAUUUUCUAGAGAUUGCUGUUGAUAUUGGCUCAUCAUCUGUGGCAAGAGGGGUCAUUGGUCUUGUCCUUGGAUAUGUCACAAGCUUAGUUGUUGAACUUGCAAUUUUGAUAGAGGCAAAAGAGGAGGCAGAUCUGCCCGAGUAUAUUCUCGGGACCGUCCGGCUAAAUCGUCUAAGGAUCGACACAGCAGUACCUUUGGAGGUUUAAGGUUUUCAAUUGUCAACAUUCUCCAUUCAUUGUAUUCCUGUGAUCAAUGCUGUUAUUUUUGGGGCUUUGCUCGCUCUGAUAUCUCUGAUCCGGUAAAAGAUCGCAGCAGACAUGUUAUAGUGCUUUGUUUAGAUGUAUUUAUAACACAUGGACAGAUGGAUAAAUGGGUUUCUACAUGGUGAGCUAUAAGCGCAGUUGAAGAUUGAUCAGGUGUGAAAGAUCCCACAUAAGUUUGGUUUGGUAGGAUUUACAAGGAGAAUUAAACUUGAGUUGAUGCUCAGCCUUUUACCAGAAUCGCUCAUUUGAUUGUCGGAUUGGAAAACUAGUGGUCGAGUAUCUGCAAACUGGGGCAUGCUCAAAACCUCACCAGCCGUGUAUUUCUGGAACAAUAGACACUGUUAAUCCAUAAUUGGUCGAAGCAGAUUUGAUGCUUUAUGGUGCUAUAGCAAACAAAAACAGUAAAGAGGAAAGAAUUGUUGAAGAAGUGAUGUGAAUCAAAGGAGUGUCCUUUUUCUCCAAUCACUUUACCAACUCCACCCACCUUUAUUUAAUACUUUAUUCCCAAAUGCAUGCCAUGCUUUAUGAUUGA
Molecule: RNA transcript, 3154 nt
Organism: Populus nigra (black poplar)
Lineage: Eukaryota; Viridiplantae; Streptophyta; Magnoliopsida; Malpighiales; Salicaceae
Gene name: protein ENHANCED DISEASE RESISTANCE 2-like
Exons: 23
Source: RefSeq, a predicted model, not a curated record